RNAcentral lists this ribosomal RNA (301 nucleotides) under uncultured bacterium. Its description in RNAcentral is "partial 16S ribosomal RNA". It matches the Rfam family "Bacterial small subunit ribosomal RNA", at positions 509 to 809 of the family's 1533-position model. The record is from RNAcentral.
CAGCAGCCACGGUAAUACGAAGGGUGCAAGCGUUAAUCGGAAUUACUGGGCGUAAAGCGUGCGUAGGCGGUGAGUUAAGUCUGCUGUGAAAUCCCCGGGCUCAACCUGGGAAUGGCAGUGGAUACUGGCUCGCUAGAGUGUGUCAGAGGAUGGUGGAAUUCCCGGUGUAGCGGUGAAAUGCGUAGAGAUCGGGAGGAACAUCAGUGGCGAAGGCGGCCAUCUGGGACAACACUGACGCUGAGGCACGAAAGCGUGGGGAGCAAACAGGAUUAGAUACCCGGGUAGUCCCUGUCUCUUAUAA